This 1434-nucleotide long non-coding RNA is filed under the name Podarcis muralis (Common wall lizard). RNAcentral describes it as "lncRNA (ENSPMRG00000011473.1)". The record is from RNAcentral. Lineage: Eukaryota; Metazoa; Chordata; Lepidosauria; Squamata; Lacertidae.
GUUCACACCAGGUUACUCCGAGUCUUUUGUUUGUUUGUUUGCUUCCCCGGUCAGACGCACUGCUUUGAGGCUUUAGGUGUAACCGAGGGAGCCCCAGGAGGCUCCGUCGAUGGAGAAGGCGAGCUGGGGGAGGCGAAAGGAAGCCCAGGUGCGAGGGAGGGAGGGGGCAGCCCGCUAAGAUCCCUUUUCCUUCCUGGGGAAACACCUCGGCGUCCCGCUCCUCCCCCCCCCCCCGCGAAUCGAGUCCAGGGAGAGAAAGGCUUGUGCCCUCGCAUUCUUUCGCUGCAGCGCGCGCACCCCGACACACACACACACACACACACGUUGGGCAGGAUUUGUCAGCAAAGUUUGCCCUCAGCGUGGCUGCCUCGUCUGUGGAGCUGCCGGGGAGAGCCCAGGAGGGAAGCGAGAGAGCGAGCGAAGGGCGGGCUGCGCUCCAGCGAGGCUUUCCCUUCCCCUCACAGACUGCAGUGCGAGCUGGGAAGGGAAUUGCCAAGCGAGAGAGAGAGAGAGAGAGAGAGAGCGAGCCUUGGUGCGCGGCCGCCGCUGGCCGCGGCGUCUCUCGUCUCGGGCCUUCUUCUCUCGGGCCACCUCAGGCAGCCGCGAGAGGCGGAUUACUCUGGCUGGUGUGUGGCUGCGCAAGGAGGUGUGCCGUGUGACUUCCCGCGCUGGGGUCAGCCCAGCUGCCUCCUCCGCCGCGGCAGGAGCGAAAAUGAAUUUGAAGGAAAAUUGGUGAAUCCAACCCAGUGGAUUUGGUAGACUUGGAGAACAGAGUCUGGACCAAAAAACAAUUAUCCUGCUAAACGAUUUCAGUGCUUCAGAGAAUGCUCAACACUGGUCCAAGCUGCUUCAUUUCAUACAUGGUAAGCUUAAGAGGCCUUUACUAUUCUCCUUCUAGUAGAUACUUGUCUUCAGUGUCUUUUAAACAUCUGGAGCACUUAAUUGCUUCAGAGGGGCCUGCUUUCACUUGUGCUGCUUUGUACGGGUCCCACUUUGCCUCUGAAAAGCCCCAGGUCCCGCCAUAGCAUCCUGCUUCAGCUCAGGAUUCAGAAUUUGCCUGAAUCCAACAAAGCCCCUUACAGACUUUGCUAUGCAUUUAGAGCUUGCUAUGUUCGCGUGGGUCGUGGAACUUGGUGUAUAUGAAAGCUCCUAUGACAGCUUGGAGUUCUCAUUCAUAAGCAAUAAAUUUUCUUAGUUUUGUAUAGCAAAGGGAACUAAUACUACCCACUGUUCCUUUAGAAACGAUUCAGGUUCUGUAAUCUUUCAUUGGUAUAUGUGGUCUUAGGUUGGGUUUUUUGCUUUUUUAAUGACAAUGCUCUGCAGUGGCGAACGAACUGAGAGUUAUAGGGUUCUUUUUAUAUUCUACCAACAAAUAAUGAAUCUGUUGAGAACUCUUGCUGCUCCAGUUAGAAUAUGACAUAAACAUGGAUGGAU